UACGGGGGGGGCAAGCGUUGUUCGGAAUUACUGGGCGUAAAGGGCUCGUAGGUGGCCAACUAAGUCAGACGUGAAAUCCCUCGGCUUAACCGGGGAACUGCGUCUGAUACUGGAUGGCUUGAGAUUGGGAGAGGGAUGCGGAAUUCCUGGUGUAGCGGUGAAAUGCGCAGAUAUCAGGAGGAACACCGAUGGCGAAGGCAGUGUUCUGGGCCAGUACUGACGCUGAGGAGCGAAAGCGUGGGGAGCAAACAGG
Molecule: ribosomal RNA, 253 nt
Filed under: uncultured bacterium
Lineage: Bacteria
Description: partial 16S ribosomal RNA
Rfam family: Bacterial small subunit ribosomal RNA
Source: RNAcentral